This 467-nucleotide long non-coding RNA is filed under the name Equus caballus (horse). RNAcentral's name for it is "lncRNA (ENSECAG00000059509.1)". Lineage: Eukaryota; Metazoa; Chordata; Mammalia; Perissodactyla; Equidae. The record is from RNAcentral.
CUUCUCCAUGGAGUGUGGACAGACAUGACACAGUGCGGGCUCCUGGCCUGGGCCUUAGAAGGCCUCGUGUAUUUCUGCUCAACUCUCUGGGAGCUUCUGACCUUCACCUUGAGAAGAACACACCCCAGGUAGACAUCAAUUACAGACCCCAACAGGAAGACAUCAGUUACUGGCCCCAAUGGGAAGAGACAUACCUUGCAUUCCCAAACAGGAAGUGGAGCUAUUUUACUACUCCAGCAGGAGGAAGGAAGUCUUCCUUCUUGCCCAGCAAUAAGCCAAGCCAAUGAGAAGCCAUCUUCACCUGAACUUUUACUUUCCUCCAGUGAACUUUCAUUAUUUCCUUGAGAUGACUUCCUUUCCUCGUCCCACCCUCCUUGCUAUAAAAGCCUUCCAUGUUGUGUAACCCCUCAGAGUGUCUCUGCUUGCUAGAUCAGAGGCUGCCCCAUGCAUGAAUGCUUCAAUAAAGC